This 650-nucleotide ribosomal RNA is filed under the name uncultured bacterium. RNAcentral's name for it is "bacterial SSU rRNA". It matches the Rfam family "Bacterial small subunit ribosomal RNA", at positions 8 to 677 of the family's 1533-position model. The record is from RNAcentral.
AGAGUUUGAUCCUGGCUCAGGACAAACGUUGGUGGUGUGCUUAAUACAUGCAAGUCGAACGAGAAAGUCUCUUCGGAGGCGAGUAAAGUGGCGAACGGGUGAGUAACGCGUAGAUAACAUGCCUUUAGCUGGGGGAUAGUCAGUCGAAAGAUUGAAUAAUACCGCAUAAGACCACAGUGUCUGAGGACACAGGGGUUAAAGAUUUAUCGGCUAAAGAUUGGUCUGCGUCCGAUUAGCUUGUUGGUGGGGUAAAAGCCUACCAAGGCGGUGAUCGGUAGCUGGUCUGAGAGGAUGACCAGCCACAUUGGGACUGAGACACGGCCCAAACUCCUACGGGAGGCAGCAGUAGGGAAUCUUGCGCAAUGGGGGAAACCCUGACGCAGCGACACCACAUGAGUGAUGAAGGCUUUAGGGUUGUAAAGCUCUGUUCUUGAUUAACAGACAAAUGAGUAGUCAAGGAGAAAGGACCGGCUAACUUCGUGCCAGCAGCUGCGGUAAGACGAGGGGUCCAAACGUUGUCCGGAAUUAUUGGGCGUAAAGCGGGUGUAGGUGGCUUUGUAAGUCAGAAGUGAAAGCCUCAGGCUCAACCUGAGAAGUGCUUUUGAUCUGCAAAACUUGAGUUUGGAAGGGGGCAAUGGAAUUCUGGUGUA